Long non-coding RNA from Astatotilapia calliptera (eastern happy), 409 nucleotides. The record is from Ensembl. NCBI's taxonomy places the organism in Eukaryota, Metazoa, Chordata, Actinopteri, Cichliformes, Cichlidae.
UCAGACAGAGCUUUUUAUACCAGCUGCAGAGGAACCUAAAGGGACAACGCUCCCUGCAGAGGCACCAGAUGUGCGCUGUUAUGGGGAGCAAGGAGGGGGGUGAGGCAUCAGAUAAGCCCUGUUCCCAAAGCCGGGACGGAUCGAGUAUCAUCAUCGGGGGCGAAACCCAAACCCUGCGCAGUGGGUCGGAUUUCUGUUUACACGAGCGUGGUCCCUGGAUUCCUCAAACCAGAGCAGACCAGAGAGCUCGGCGACACUGUGAGGUCUGCGAGACAGAGGCUUUCAAUGAUGCAGAAGAGCAAUGGAAACCAACUGUCCUAAUGUAGGCCAUACUGCACUGUUAACGUGUUAAUGGACAAAAUGAGGAAAAUUGUAGUAAAGUUAUAAAAUAAAAGUUGUUACAGCUAAC